This 227-nucleotide unclassified non-coding RNA is filed under the name Hevea brasiliensis (rubber tree). Lineage: Eukaryota; Viridiplantae; Streptophyta; Magnoliopsida; Malpighiales; Euphorbiaceae. The record is from RNAcentral.
UUCUCUUCCACUGAGCAAUAUUUAAGAGAACUGUAAAGUUGAGAGUCCAGAGAGUGCCUAAUUGAUUGGAAAAUGAAGAUGCUAAUUUUAAAGAAAGUAUUAGUGAUCUUCUCUGUAUAUACUCCCUCUCUCUUUCAAUAGAUCUUGUAUGUGCAGUUUGUGUUAGGAACUGGCAAUCAUGUCGGAGGAGAAAAUAACAUUCCAACGAGACUUCAAGAAUAUGCAUA